RNAcentral lists this long non-coding RNA (4229 nucleotides) under Homo sapiens (human). RNAcentral's name for it is "HSALNT0350561". Lineage: Eukaryota; Metazoa; Chordata; Mammalia; Primates; Hominidae. The record is from RNAcentral.
CACCAAAAGAAGAGACAGGGUUCACAUACACACACACAUACACAUACUCACAUACACACACAUACAGACUCACAUACACACACAGACUCACAUACACACACACAUACACAUACAUACACACACAUACAGACUCACAUACACACACACACAGACUCACAUACACAGACACACACAGACUUACAUACACACAGACACACACACACAUACAGACUCACAUAUACACAGACUCACAUACACAGAGACUCACAUACACACAGACACACACACACUCAAAUACACAGACUCACAUACUCACAGACACACACAGACUCAAAUACACACACAGACUCACAUACACACACACUCAUACACACACAUACAGACUCACAUAUACACAGACUCACAUACACAGAGACUCACAUACACACAGACACACACAGACUCAAAUACACACACAGACUCACAUACACACACACUCAUACACACACAUACAGACUCACAUACACAUAGACACACACAGAUUCACAUACACACACAGACACACACACAGACACACACAGACACACACAGACUCACACACACACACAGACUCAUGUACACACAGACUCAUGCACAUAUACAUAUACAUAGGUACAUACACACACUCACAAAUGUAAAUACAUGUACACACACAUAUACAGACUCACAUACACACAUACACACAUGUACGUAUACAUACAAACACAAACAUACACACACGUGCAUACACAGACACACACAGCGACUCACGUACACACACGUACGUACACACACGCACAUACACACAUCACAUAUACAAUACAUACACAGACUCACAAACACACACACAGACUCACAUGCAUAUACACAUACAUACACAUGCACAUACAUACACAAUGUACACACAGACUCGCAUACAUAUACACGUACAUACACACAGAUACGCAGACACAUAUACAACCAUGCUCCACAUAACAUCGUUUCAGUCAGUGAUGGGCUGCGUAUAUGACAGUGGUCCUGUCAGAUUCCAAAUAGCUGAAAAAUGGCUGUUGCCCAGUGAUGUCCCAGCCAUCGUAACACUGUGGCACAGUGCGUUACCUUUUCUAUGUGUGGAUUUGUUUAGUUGCACACAUACUUAUCACCGUGUUACAGUCGCCCACAGGACUCAGUACAGUAACACGCGGUACAGGUUUGCAGCCUAGGAGCAAAGGCUACGGUGUAGAGCCGAGGGGUGCUGGAGGCCAUUCCAUCUGGGUUUGUGUAAGGACAGUCUGUGACGGUCCCCUAAUGAGGAAAUGGUCUAAUGAUGCAUUUCUCAGAAUGUGUCUUGUCAGUGAGUGACGCAUGACUGUACAUAGGUACAUGGACACACACACUCACACAUGCACACUGCUGCAGUUUGCACGGGUGCCCCUAGGUUCACAUGUCAGAAACUCGAUCACCAGUGUGACAGUGUUGGGAUGAGGGGCCACUGGGAGGUGUUUGAGUCAUGCGGGCACCACCCUCAUGAAUGGAUUAAUACGUUAUCUCAGGAAUGGUUCUUUUUCCCCCAAAGCAACAAAAGGUAAAAGCAGGGAAUGGUUCAUCAUCCUGGGAGUGGGUUCCUUGGGAAAGGACAAGUUUGGCACACUCUCUGUCUCUGUCUGUCUCUCUAUCUGUCUCGCCUUCACCACAUGGGGCCCCUCCAUCUUGGACUUCCCAGCCUCCAGAAUUUGUUGAGCCAAUUAAUUCCUAGUCAUUAGGAAUUAGCCAGUUUGUGGUGUUCUGCACAUGUGGUUAUAGCAACAGAAAGUAGACUGAGACACACACACACACACACACACACACACACACACACAUUCCUGCAUGUACACAUGAAUGCCUGCGUACAUGUAGACACACAGACACGCAGGCAUGCAUAACAUGUGCCUACACACAGAUCCACACACACUCACUUAAUUCUCGCAACCUUGCCUUAAGGCAGAGGGUGUCCGCAAUCUCCCCUUGACAGAGGAGGAAACUGAGGCUUAGGAAAGACACGUAACUUGCUGAGGGGCUAGUGUGAUACAGGGGCCUGGCGGCUGGGCCAUCCUGUUACCUGGGCUGUAUUCUGGAGGGCCUGCUCUGGGUUGGGCUGUGGCAGCCUCUCUGUGAUCUCCCGAGUUAGGGUUCUGGGAGCUCCCCAAAACCCUUCCAUAGCUUUGUUCUGGAGAGGAUGGUUGAGGUGGGGGAUUCAGACUCCUGGACCUCAACCCUGCACCCCCACCAGGCCACUAAGAGGGGCACCCGUGGGGGUGAGUGGAGGACCCUGACCCCAGGCCACUGGUACCGCCUGGAUGCCUGCAGUACACAGGGGAUCCGAUGUCCUUCAGCCCCCAGGCUGGCCCCGAUGUGAAGUCUGAUGGGUGUUGGGCCCCCGUGCUGCCCCCUUCCCCCACAGGUAGCUCAUUUGCUGAGUUUCCAAGCAGAAUAGUUUGUAAAAUGUGCAAUGCAUUUGGGAGGGGAUGAGCCUCUCAUGGACAGUAGGGCAGGUACCAGGAGAGUGGUGGCCCCAGCCCUCCCAGUCCCCUGGGAGCCCCACCCAGGCACACCAGGUUCAGAUGGUCAGUGCCUGUUCCCCCAGGAACUCUUGGUGGCUGAAGAUGCCUGUGGACUCCCAUUAUGUAAAACACCGAGGAUUCCCAAAACCCAGUGAUGCUAUAAUGUCAUUGAAAUAGUGAGCACAUAGAUGAUGUGGCAUUUCCCGACUGGCCCUUGGGGUCAAGUGGUAGUCCGAAGGGCAGCUCUCACCGGGUGGUCAGACAGCACGCUGGACACCCAGGGGCCCCUCGAUGCUGUGACACGCCAGGGAGGCACCCGGGUCCCUGAUGUUCCAGUGCAGGACAAGUGACAGCCCACCUGGCCCACUCCUCCCCCCAGGUUCAUGCCCCACCCCCACUCCAUCUCAGCAGAGUGUCCCGAGGCCUCCCUGGGUUGUGGUGCCGGGCGAGUUCCCCUCUCUGUCCAGGACUCCCACGCUGGUGCCCUGGGAAGCUGGGGGGCUGUAGGAGAAGGACAGACUCAGAGCCUGGGGCUGGCUUAUAAACACAAGAGCUUUUCCCACGUCAGCCCUUGGCGUCAACUUGUGAGGGCGUCCCCAUGCAGGCGUGAUAGGCAGAGGCUGUGCUGAGGGCCGGGGCAGCAGAGGAGGUGGGCAGGGCCCAGAGGCACUGGGUGGGUGCCUCGCACACCAGGGCUAGGGAACCAUUUGUUCUAAGCUCUGGAUUACAGAUGGGGAAACUGAGGCCCAGAGAGGGGCAGGGACAUGGCUGAGGUCUCGGGGGACCCCUGAGCAGCCAGGCCUCCGCUGCCUCCCUUGGGCGGGUGUGAGGGGCACCUGCGGUUUGGUGUUAGGCUCCCACCUACAGGGGCAAAGCCCAGGCUCAGAGGUGACCUGGAAUCAGCGAAUCAGGGGCCGAGCUGGACUAGGCAGGAGGGUGUGUGGUUGCAGCAGGUGAGCUCAUCUGUAAAACGGGGGUGCGACACCCCUGGCCCUGCCAGCCUGUCCAGGUCUGCGCGGCACUUGGCGCUCCCAGCACCACACCCUCCAGGAGAGGCCCAGCUGGGAGUCAUCUGGAAGAAGUCCCUCCUGGCCCAGGUGGGCAAAGAGAGGACCAGGAGGGAAUGACGUCGAGCACCUCUUCCUCAUUGGAGCCCUCCUGGGUGACCCCGUCCUGUGCCCAACACGUGACUGUUCUCCCUGGGGCUGGCCACGUGGGGGUAGGAUCUGAGCACCCCUGCAGCUGAGCCACGAGAGCACAGGACUCCCCAGGGCUCUGCAGGGGGCCUGGCCUCAGCUCCAGCUGAGUUCUGGAGAGGUGCUGCAGGGGAGAGUUAGGUAGACACACCUGGAGGCCCAGAACUAGCCGAGGGAUGGUGAAGGGGUCAUCCGUGCUGAGUCCUUGAGGGCUCAGUGAGGCCGAGGAAAGGUGGGGCAGGGUCCAGUCUGGAGGGUGAGGCUGGGCCUUGUGGCCUGUCCUGGGGUGGGGGUGGGGAGGAAUCAGUUUCAAGAGGCAGCCCCAGGAAGAGUAGGGGCAGAGGAGGGGGUGGGACUUGACAAGCGGAAGGCCCUGGCUGGGGCUGGGCACAGGCUGCUGGGCCAGUGGGGCGGGGGCCAGGAGUCAUGGAGCAGGUGGUCCGAGGAGAUGGGGUGAGGGACCAUCCAGGGGGAGGGAAUGGCAGGGGACAGGACUGGGAGCAGGAGAGUGUGGUCUCAUGGGCGGAGCCACUUCCCC